RNAcentral lists this long non-coding RNA (218 nucleotides) under Mytilus galloprovincialis (Mediterranean mussel). Lineage: Eukaryota; Metazoa; Mollusca; Bivalvia; Mytilida; Mytilidae. The record is from RNAcentral.
CAUAAUCUUUCAAUCAGUUUAAUUGAGGUCUGGAGCUGGCAUGUCAGUUAACUGCUAGUAGUCUGUUGUUAUUUAUGUAUUAUUGUCAUUUUAUUUAUUUUCUUUUGUUACAUCUUUUGACAUCAGACUCGGACUUCUCUUGAACUGAAUUUUAAUGUGCGUAUUGUUAUUCUUUUACUUUUCUACAUUGGCUAGAGGUAUAGGGGGGAGGUUGAGAU